Molecule: small nucleolar RNA, 224 nt
Filed under: Komagataella phaffii GS115
Lineage: Eukaryota; Fungi; Ascomycota; Pichiomycetes; Pichiales; Pichiaceae
Description: small nucleolar RNA snR191
Rfam family: Small nucleolar RNA snR191
Source: Rfam by way of RNAcentral
CACCAAUGCUCUAGUCAGGAUUUUCUUAUUACGUUGUAAACGUUUACGAUUGAGUUAAUCUGUUACAGGAUUGGAAGAUAAAUGUAUAUCAGUGCUGUCUUUCCGUCUUGGAACUUGUCAGCGGGAGGAUGUUUUUUCCUCUUAUGAUAUUCAUUCACUUAUGAGUUGAGCCCUCCGUCGAAAGGCUUCUAAUGGAGGUGCUCGUAGUAAAGUGUUUGACAUUC